Molecule: ribosomal RNA, 254 nt
Filed under: uncultured bacterium
Lineage: Bacteria
Description: partial 16S ribosomal RNA
Rfam family: Bacterial small subunit ribosomal RNA
Source: RNAcentral
UACGUAGGGUCCAAGCGUUGUCCGGAUUUAUUGGGCGUAAAGAGCUCGUAGGCGGUUCGGUAAGUCGGAUGUGAAAACUCAGGGCUCAACCCGGAGACGCCAUCCGAUACUGCUGUGACUGGAGUCUGGUAGGGGAUCACGGAAUACCUGGUGUAGCGGUGAAAUGCGCAGAUAUCAGGUGGAACACCGAUGGCGAAGGCAGUGAUCUGGGCCAGUACUGACGCUGAGGAGCGAAAGCGUGGGGAGCGAACAGG